This 552-nucleotide long non-coding RNA is filed under the name Olea europaea subsp. europaea. The record is from RNAcentral. Lineage: Eukaryota; Viridiplantae; Streptophyta; Magnoliopsida; Lamiales; Oleaceae.
UUGACUGGGAGGGAGUUGUUCCAUGAUAUUUAAACUGGAACCAAAGCCAAACCUGGGGUUGAAAUAUAUACUCCCUAAUUUUUUGCUCGCCAACUUGAUUUUGGCCAAACUUGGCCUGUUUCUCCUUGCUAUUCAAAAAAUUUAACAGACCGCUUUCACACCAUUAAUAAGGUAGAGGCACAAGCUAUAGAUGCUCGCCACAUUCUUUUGAUGAGUAAAUUUUCAUUAGCCCCCUUCAAUUCUAGCCGUGUCAUCCAUCUCCUUUUUGAACAACUCUGGCUAUUAGUGAAGCGCAGAUUGUCUGCAAUUAAUGACAGUCGUGCUUUCCAUUCACUGGAUCAGCCAAACACUUCUUCCACUUCUCCUAUUUUGGUCACCCUUGUGUCCAUUAGGAAUCAUUCCUCCCCUGCUCGUGCUAAACAAUCUAUUCGUCCAUCUACUUCUCUACCUGCCAAGGCUACUUCAACUAAGAGUGCCUUAAGCCGCAAACGGCCAGCUUCAACAUCUCCCAUUUUUGAGGAUGAUGAUGAUGAUGACGCUCCUCUCAUCGUU